GAUGAACGCUGGCGGCGUGCCUAAUACAUGCAAGUCGAGCGAACAGACGAGGAGCUUGCUCCUCUGACGUUAGCGGCGGACGGGUGAGUAACACGUGGAUAACCUACCUAUAAGACUGGGAUAACUUCGGGAAACCGGAGCUAAUACCGGAUAAUAUAUUGAACCGCAUGGUUCAAUAGUGAAAGACGGUUUUGCUGUCACUUAUAGAUGGAUCCGCGCCGCAUUAGCUAGUUGGUAAGGUAACGGCUUACCAAGGCCACGAUGCGUAGCCGACCUGAGAGGGUGAUCGGCCACACUGGAACUGAGACACGGUCCAGACUCCUACGGGAGGCAGCAGUAGGGAAUCUUGCGCAAUGGGCGAAAGCCUGACGGAGCAACGCCGCGUGAGUGAUGAAGGUCUUCGGAUCGUAAAACUCUGUUAUUGGGGAAGAACAAAUGUGGAAGUAACUAUGCACGUCUUGACGGUACCUAAACAGAAAGCAACGGCUAACUACGUG
RNAcentral lists this ribosomal RNA (497 nucleotides) under uncultured bacterium. RNAcentral describes it as "partial 16S ribosomal RNA". It matches the Rfam family "Bacterial small subunit ribosomal RNA", at positions 28 to 507 of the family's 1533-position model. The record is from RNAcentral.